GCUGCUGCUGUUGCUGCUGCGACGCCGAGGACGAGCCGGCGGUCAGGCCGUCCAGCACCUUCCUGAUGUUGAAUUUCCUCAUGGUCUCGGAGGGGCUCCCCCGCAGCCCGGGAGGGGAGGCACAGGGGGUCCCCGGGCGGGGGAGACCACCCGGGGCCGAAGGCAGCUUCGACCGCGGAAACGGAGGAGUGGGAGUGUGAGGAGAAAUAUGCAAUGAUGACAUUUCCAAGAAGUGAUGGCAUCUGGCGCUAAGGACAAAGAAUGGGAUUUUGCCACAGGGAUCUUAUUCUCCCACAUGUUCUGUCUGAAGGAGAAAGUUAUCUGAGGCCUUAUAUGAUGCAAAACUUUGGACUCAAAGAAAUUAAAUCACUUGCCCAAGGUUACAUAGCUGCCCCUGGCAAACACCAUUCUACUUUCCGUCUCUAUGAAUUUGACUACUCGAAGUACCUCAUGUGAAAUGUUGGUGCCAAAUGAACUUUUCUGGUUCUUCUGAAUAUGCCACUGUUGCUGGAGAAAUGUCACUGCUAGAGAACAGAAGACUAUUAUUCCAAAGGGUAUUUGAGACUGACUGAAUCAGGUCUGGAACAUUAUUGAAAUGAGACCCACAAAAGAAGAGAUACUGAGGUGGUGACCAGAUGGAUAUAAACGGGCUGUGGAAAAAGAGAAUGCAUGGCCAAAAAUGGUGGUGCUCUCUGUCCAAAAACUGAGGCCCUAUGACCAUGAAUGAAGCCAGAGGGCAGGUAGGAAUAGAUCAUUUGCUCCAGAAGAAGCUGGUUGCCAUGUCUUGAGGACAGUAAACCCUCUGGGGAGGUUCCUGUGGUAAGGAACAAGGGCUCCUGGCAAUAGCCUCUGAGUGAGCCACCUUGAAAAUGGAUUGUCCAGCCCCAGUCAAGCUUUCAGAUGACUGUAGCUCCUGCCAAUGUCUUCACCACAACCUCAUGAGAUCCCAAGCUACAACCACUCAGUUAAGUUAUGCCAAAAUUCCUGAUUCACAGAAAUUGACAUACAGGAGAGGUCACAGUUAAGAUCUUGAUGUUCUAUCUUGACCCAUAAUAUAGGAACUUCAUCUUUUGGGAAGCACCAGGGAGAGCUGCCUGUGCCUGGCAGAAGCUGCCCAUGCCCCACUGAUACCCCACAGUACUUCCUGUUCUGCUUAGUACUCCUGCUUCUUUCUACAAACAACUGUGAUUCUCUACCUGGGAGCUUCCUCUGGCCACAGGAGCCUGCUCACCUGAUUGGGACACCCUAGCAGUACUGGCUCAUAGAUGGAAGGGACUUGCCUUGUCGCUGAUGAGACUUUCGACUUGGACUUUUGAGUCAAUGCUGGAAUGAGUUAAGACUUUGGGGAACUGUUGGAAGGGUGUGAUUGUGUUUUGAAUUGUGAGGACAUGAGAUUUUGAAGAGGCUAAUGGCAGCGUCCCCACCUAAAUCUCUUCUUGAAUUGUAGUUCCCAUAAUCCCCACGUGUCGUGGGGUGGAGCCGGUGGAGAUAAUUGAAUCAUGGGAACACUUUCCCCCAUGCUGUUAUUGUGAUUGUGAAUUCUCACGAGAUCUGAUGGUUGUAUAAACGCCUUCCCUCUUCGCUGGGCACUCAUUUUUCUCCUUCCUGCCACCAUGUGAAGAAGGAUAUGCUUGCUUCUUGUGCCAUGAUUACAAGAACACACUCAGAAAUUUUCUCAACACAGUUUCUAUGCAGAGAAGAGAUGUGGGACAGAUUUGAACUGCUGUCAUAUUUGUAUGAACCCAAGACAUUUUCCAAGACCAAGAGGGAUAAAGACAGCAAUUUCUAUGACUGGCAUUUUACGUGCAUGCACUGUUUCCAAGUGUUCUUGUGUUCUGUGCCUUAAACAUUCUGUGUUGCAACUUUAUGAAUUGAAUUAAAGAUAAUCCCAAGCCCCCAAUUGUCUCAAAAAGUGAAAAAGUAAAUGUUAUAGAAAGAAAAGCGGGAAAAACUUUAAGCAUGAAAUAAAAGAUGGGUUGUGAUAAAAGAGGACUGAAGAAGGAAAAGGAAUGAAAGGUUCUGCCAUCCUUCAUGGCAGCCCACUCCACUUGGUAUGAGAUACUGCUCCCUUGGCUGAAAGUUAACUGCUGUACUCCCUCCACUUUCUAUAAAUGACUCCCUGUGCCUUUCCUUCACCACACAACUCACACUCUCUUCCUUCCUAGUGAGUCCACUAAGGCUUCACUGCAUUAUUACAUUUAUUUCAUUUAGGAAAAACUGACUUUAUUUUCCUUCAAAUUGUUUUUUAUUGUUUAUAUGAGCUUGGUUUUAUUGUCAUUCUAUUUUUCUCCAUGAAAAUAGAGAAAAAUAGGGUCGAAAGGUUAGGUUGGGUGGAAAGGAAUUAUAUUUUUUCUCACUAAAAUUGAUGUAAAUAUCGUUUUCAAUUGAAUGAUUUUACACAGUGGCACAGUUUCAGGUAUGUUGCUAAGCAGGAAAGUUGUUAACCAAAGCAUGAAUGUAUUAAGGAGAUGUAUGCAGAAUGACAUGCAAGGUUAUCUAUGAUUGCUGAGUGAGAAAGAGCAAGUUGCUGAGUAUUAUAUAAGUAUGAUCUCACUUUUGUAAAAAAAAAAAAAAAAAAAGGCCUGGACUGAUCUGAAAUGACCCUAUUAAUAACAAUUAUGUCCAGGUCUGUAUUGCAUACUUGUCAUUCAUUACAGGAUCUUGAGACACAAUGCAAAGGAUCACAUCGCAGCUCUGUAACUUGUUAACUAUAAGAUUUUGAGUAACAUAACACCUUACUCCUUAAAAUUGCUUAAAAAAAAUCUGAACAUCAGGAAUAUUCUACUUCACAGGGUCGUUGUGAUAAUUAAAUGUAGUAAUCAAUGACAAUAGUGCCAGAUACAGUAGAUAGCCUACACUUUGCAGCUACUAUUUCUAUCUAUCAUCCAUCUAUUAAUAUAUAUCAUCUAUCUUUAACUUAUCAUCUAUCUUGUUCCAGUUUUUUAAAAUGAACAUGUAUUAACUUUGUAAAAAAUUAAGGCUAUAAGAUGUGCUGAGCUUUUGGAAUAGAUUUUCCUGUACUAUAUAUGACUGCCAGUGGGAGAAUUUGAAUAAAUGUGUAAAUUUGACUAAAAAAAAAAAA
RNAcentral lists this long non-coding RNA (3082 nucleotides) under Homo sapiens (human). RNAcentral's name for it is "STXBP5 antisense RNA 1 (STXBP5-AS1)". Lineage: Eukaryota; Metazoa; Chordata; Mammalia; Primates; Hominidae. The record is from RNAcentral.